CCUACGGGUGGCAGCAGUGGGGAAUAUUGGGCAAUGGGCGCAAGCCUGACCCAGCAACGCCGCGUGAAGGAAGAAGGCUUUCGGGUUGUAAACUUCUUUUCUGAGGGACGAAGAAAGUGACGGUACCUCAGGAAUAAGCCACGGCUCACCACGUGCCAGCAGCCGCGGUAAUACGUAGGUGGCAAGCUUUAUCCGGAUUUAUUGGGGGAAAAGGGCGUGUAGGGGGGAAAGCAAGACAGAUGUGAAAACUCAGGGCUCAACCCUUAGCCUGCAUUUGAAACUGUUUUUCUUGAGUGCUGGAGAGGCAAUCGGAAUUCCGGGUGUAGCGGUGAAAUGCGUAGAUAUACGGAGGAACACCAGUGGCGAAGGCGGAUUGCUGGACAGUAACUGACGCUGAGGCGCGAAAGCGUGGGGAGCAAACAGGAUUAGAUACCCUGGUAGUC
RNAcentral lists this ribosomal RNA (443 nucleotides) under uncultured bacterium. RNAcentral's name for it is "partial 16S ribosomal RNA". It matches the Rfam family "Bacterial small subunit ribosomal RNA", at positions 338 to 795 of the family's 1533-position model. The record is from RNAcentral.